UACGUAGGGGGCAAGCGUUUAUCCGGAAUCAUUGGGCGUAAAGCGCGUGUAGGCGGUUCCGUAAGUCCGCUCUGAAAGCCCAGGGCUCAACCCUGGGAGGCGGGUGGAUACUACGGAACUGGAGUACGGAAGAGGAGAUUGGAAUUCCUGGUGUAGCGGUGAAAUGCGCAGAUAUCAGGAGGAACACCAACAGCGAAGGCAGAUCUCUGGGACGUUACUGACGCUGAGACGCGAAAGCGUGGGGAGCAAACAGG
This 254-nucleotide ribosomal RNA is filed under the name uncultured bacterium. RNAcentral describes it as "partial 16S ribosomal RNA". It matches the Rfam family "Bacterial small subunit ribosomal RNA", at positions 524 to 776 of the family's 1533-position model. The record is from RNAcentral.